Molecule: ribosomal RNA, 979 nt
Filed under: Limosilactobacillus reuteri
Lineage: Bacteria; Bacillati; Bacillota; Bacilli; Lactobacillales; Lactobacillaceae
Description: bacterial SSU rRNA
Rfam family: Bacterial small subunit ribosomal RNA
Source: RNAcentral
CCCGGGGACGUUAAUCGGGAAUUAAUUGGGCGUAAGCGAGCGCAGGCGGUUGCUUAGGUCUGAUGUGAAAGCCUUCGGCUUAACCGAAGAAGUGCAUCGGAAACCGGGCGACUUGAGUGCAGAAGAGGACAGUGGAACUCCAUGUGUAGCGGUGGAAUGCGUAGAUAUAUGGAAGAACACCAGUGGCGAAGGCGGCUGUCUGGUCUGCAACUGACGCUGAGGCUCGAAAGCAUGGGUAGCGAACAGGAUUAGAUACCCUGGUAGUCCAUGCCGUAAACGAUGAGUGCUAGGUGUUGGAGGGUUUCCGCCCUUCAGUGCCGGAGCUAACGCAUUAAGCACUCCGCCUGGGGAGUACGACCGCAAGGUUGAAACUCAAAGGAAUUGACGGGGGCCCGCACAAGCGGUGGAGCAUGUGGUUUAAUUCGAAGCUACGCGAAGAACCUUACCAGGUCUUGACAUCUUGCGCUAACCUUAGAGAUAAGGCGUUCCCUUCGGGGACGCAAUGACAGGUGGUGCAUGGUCGUCGUCAGCUCGUGUCGUGAGAUGUUGGGUUAAGUCCCGCAACGAGCGCAACCCUUGUUACUAGUUGCCAGCAUUAAGUUGGGCACUCUAGUGAGACUGCCGGUGACAAACCGGAGGAAGGUGGGGACGACGUCAGAUCAUCAUGCCCCUUAUGACCUGGGCUACACACGUGCUACAAUGGACGGUACAACGAGUCGCAAACUCGCGAGAGUAAGCUAAUCUCUUAAAGCCGUUCUCAGUUCGGACUGUAGGCUGCAACUCGCCUACACGAAGUCGGAAUCGCUAGUAAUCGCGGAUCAGCAUGCCGCGGUGAAUACGUUCCCGGGCCUUGUACACACCGCCCGUCACACCAUGGGAGUUUGUAACGCCCAAAGUCGGUGGCCUAACCUUUAUGGAGGGAGCCGCCUAAGGCGGGACAGAUGACUGGGGUGAAGUCGUACAAGGGGAACGGUAAAAA